RNAcentral lists this long non-coding RNA (1557 nucleotides) under Amborella trichopoda. RNAcentral describes it as "long non-coding RNA (ATRI_LNC002876)". The record is from RNAcentral. Lineage: Eukaryota; Viridiplantae; Streptophyta; Magnoliopsida; Amborellales; Amborellaceae.
UAAUCUCCCAUCUCUCUCAUUACUUUCUCUCUCUAACUCGUACCCCAUAAAUAGGGCACCCUCUCCUCGUCCUAAGCACUAAGGACACAGCACCAAAAGCCAUGCCUCGUCUCUCAAUACUUGUCAUCACACUUGCUAUUCUCCUCUUAAACUCUUCAGGUAAAUAAAAUUAAAUUCUUUCUCUAUGCUUAUUACCAUUCCAUUUAUAUUCAUUUCUCUUACAUGAGGUUCUCCUCUUGACAUGUGUGCGGAAGCGCUAGUUUGGUAUUUGUAGAAUCAAAGGAAUUUUUUUUUGCUGUUAACAAAACAUUUAUUUUUAUCAAGACAUUGACUGUUUUCAUACCAACAAUAACUUUGUACUCUUAGUACCACGGAAAAUUUAUCAAACUGGGAAACACUUUAUUUUCUUUAGCACUUGAGAGCUAAUCUUGGGACUUUCUUUUCGUUUAUCUACUAUAUUCCUCUAAUGAACCUUGUAAAUAAGCAUCAUUAAAGAUAAAAAAGAAAUUGUCUCAAGAAAAAAAUGCCCUAAGCCAAUGAACCUUGUAAAUAAGCAUCAUUAAAGAUAAAAAAGAAAUUGUCUCAAGAAAAAAAUGCCCUAAGCCCAGAAACAAAAAAUAAAAAAUAAAAUAAAAUCAAUUAGAAGGUAUGAAAGUGUUAUUGAUAAUAUUUUGAUUUUGAAAAAAAAAAUUAAUUGUGCGACACACUUCUGGCCAUCUGAUUUCACAUCUGACAACUAGAAAUGAUUAUGACCUUACACCCAACAUAAACGGUUUUAAGUACGCAAACAAACUAAUGAAUACCCUUUUUCACAGGAAGCAUGGGAGGCAGGGGACUUGUCAUAGAUCAAGAAAAUGAGGUUGGUAUAUCAUUAGUAUGAGUAAAUAUCAUUAUACAUGUUAUUGAAUGUUGAGUAAAUAUCACUUUUACAAUGAAUCUAUUUUUAAUAUUUUCUACUACUUAAUAUUGGGGUUUGGAUGCUUUUUGUCUUUGUGAGUAAGGCAUGUGGAAAAAGAAAAAAAAACCUUCUUCCUUCUUUGUUUUAGUUAAAAUUGUUUCAAUUUCUUAAGCAGGUGGAGAUGAGAAAGCUUCUCUUGGAGACUACAAUGGAGUAUGACUAUGGAGGAGCCAACCCAAAGCAUGAGCCAAAAAAAGGCAAGCCUGGUGGUGGAAAAAUUCCUUAGAGCCAUUUUCACCAAGUCUUAGUGGUGGAUCCUUUUUUUUUUGUAGCCUUUUUUCUAGGGUUAGUAUUGGAGCUUAGGAGAUAUUCUUUUGGUUGUAAGGAUGAAGAAACAUAAUAUGUCCGGUAUUAUCCAAUAAUCUUUUAGGUAACUAAUAUAAAUGAGAGGAAGAACAUGGUGUUCUAUUCCAAAUAUUAUGUUGAGAUAUUAAAGGCAUUGAAAAAUAAAUGGUGAUUUUAUUACAAAAUAAACCAUGUUUUAAGUUCUCUACUUAGAGGACUACAAUAUUUAAACACGUGAACAACAUGAAAGAAAGGCAUUUGUAGAGGAACUCCUGUUAUUUAGAAAUGGGAAAAUUUUUUAUUCUUCCCCGCUA